RNAcentral lists this transfer RNA (73 nucleotides) under Candidatus Collierbacteria bacterium. RNAcentral's name for it is "tRNA-Trp". It matches the Rfam family "tRNA". Rfam says of the family: Transfer RNA (tRNA) molecules are approximately 80 nucleotides in length. The record is from RNAcentral. Lineage: Bacteria; Candidatus Collieribacteriota.
AGGUCUGUAGCUCAAUGGGUAGAGUAAUCGCCUCCAAAGCGAGAGGUUGUAGGUUCGAGUCCUACCAGGCCUG